Molecule: ribosomal RNA, 253 nt
Filed under: uncultured bacterium
Lineage: Bacteria
Description: partial 16S ribosomal RNA
Rfam family: Bacterial small subunit ribosomal RNA
Source: RNAcentral
UACGUAGGGUGCGAGCGUUGUCCGGAAUUAUUGGGCGUAAAGAGCUCGUAGGUGGUUUGUCGCGUUGUUCGUGAAAACCUGAGGCUUAACCUUGGGCGUGCGGGCGAUACGGGCAGACUGGAGUACUGCAGGGGAGACUGGAAUUCCUGGUGUAGCGGUGGAAUGCGCAGAUAUCAGGAGGAACACCGGUGGCGAAGGCGGGUCUCUGGGCAGUAACUGACGCUGAGGAGCGAAAGCGUGGGGAGCGAACAGG